AUUGAACGCUGGCGGCAGGCCUAACACAUGCAAGUCGAACGGUAACAGGAAGCAGCUUGCUGCUUUGCUGACGAGUGGCGGACGGGUGAGUAAUGUCUGGGAAACUGCCUGAUGGAGGGGGAUAACUACUGGAAACGGUAGCUAAUACCGCAUAACGUCGCAAGACCAAAGAGGGGGACCUUCGGGCCUCUUGCCAUCGGAUGUGCCCAGAUGGGAUUAGCUAGUAGGUGGGGUAACGGCUCACCUAGGCGACGAUCCCUAGCUGGUCUGAGAGGAUGACCAGCCACACUGGAACUGAGACACGGUCCAGACUCCUACGGGAGGCAGCAGUGGGGAAUAUUGCACAAUGGGCGCAAGCCUGAUGCAGCCAUGCCGCGUGUAUGAAGAAGGCCUUCGGGUUGUAAAGUACUUUCAGCGGGGAGGAAGGGAGUAAAGUUAAUACCUUUGCUCAUUGACGUUACCCGCAGAAGGAGCACCGGCUAACUCCGU
RNAcentral lists this ribosomal RNA (489 nucleotides) under uncultured bacterium. RNAcentral's name for it is "partial 16S ribosomal RNA". It matches the Rfam family "Bacterial small subunit ribosomal RNA", at positions 30 to 506 of the family's 1533-position model. The record is from RNAcentral.